RNAcentral lists this ribosomal RNA (845 nucleotides) under uncultured bacterium. Its description in RNAcentral is "bacterial SSU rRNA". It matches the Rfam family "Bacterial small subunit ribosomal RNA", at positions 600 to 1437 of the family's 1533-position model. The record is from RNAcentral.
UCNUCUGGCUUAACUGGGGGCUUGCGGUGGGUACGGGCCGGCUUGAGUGCGGUAGGGGAGACUGGAACUCCUGGUGUAGCGGUGGAAUGCGCAGAUNUCAGGAAGAACACCGGUGGCGAAGGCGGGUCUCUGGGCCGUUACUGACGCUGAGGAGCGAAAGCGUGGGGAGCGAACAGGAUUAGAUACCCUGGUAGUCCACGCCGUAAACGUUGGGCACUAGGUGUGGGGGGCCUUUUCCGGGUCUUCCGCGCCGUAGCUAACGCAUUAAGUGCCCCGCCUGGGGAGUACGGCCGCAAGGCUAAAACUCAAAGGAAUUGACGGGGGCCCGCACAAGCGGCGGAGCAUGCGGAUUAAUUCGAUGCAACGUGAAGAACCUUACCAAGGCUUGACAUGUGCCGGUCGGCUCCGGAGACGGGGUUUCCUCCUUGUGGGGCCGGUUCACAGGUGGUGCAUGGUUGUCGUCAGCUCGUGUCGUGAGAUGUUGGGUUAAGUCCCGCAACGAGCGCAACCCUUGUCCCGUGUUGCCAGCACGUUGUGGUGGGGACUCGCGGGAGACUGCCGGGGUCAACUCGGAGGAAGGUGGGGAUGACGUCAAAUCAUCAUGCCCCUUAUGUCUUGGGCUUCACGCAUGCUACAAUGGCCGGUACAGAGGGCUGCGAUACCGUGAGGUGGAGCGAAUCCCUUAAAGCCGGUCUCAGUUCGGAUCGGUGUCUGCAACUCGACACCGUGAAGUUGGAGUCGCUAGUAAUCGCAGAUCAGCAACGCUGCGGUGAAUACGUUCUCGGGCCUUGUACACACCGCCCGUCACGUCAUGAAAGUCGGCAACACCCGAAGCCCGUGGCCCU